GUGCUCACUUUGGCAGCAUAUAUACUAAAACUGGAAUGAUACAGAGAAGAUUAGUAUGGCCCCUGCACAAGGAUGAUGCACAAAUUUGUGAAGUGUUCCAUACAAAA
Small nuclear RNA from Papio anubis (olive baboon), 107 nucleotides. The record is from Ensembl. Lineage: Eukaryota; Metazoa; Chordata; Mammalia; Primates; Cercopithecidae.